GACUUGCUUUUAAAAAUUAUUGUUUAUGAUGUUUAUGUUAGGGUGUAAGGGAUUCAACUUUUUAAAUUUCCUGCUGGAACCGCAACAUAGGCGGAACUUGAAAAAAGUUCCGGUCGAGACUACGUAAAACAAACUCACUCGGGCGGAACGAAACAACAUUAACAGGCACAUCACUCAAGCGAGUAGGACAUUGUUGUUAGUUGUUGGAAUAUAUUCACAGGAACCGAGUACAAUUAGAUAAUGCUGCAAUGCUAAAAGUAUGAUUACCUGCCGAUAUGAGAUCAGAAAAAUUGUGCUAUAUAGAUGAAGGUUUUGUCUUUUCAUUAUGUCAAAUGUGGAACCAAAGGUGGAUCUAACGGUUUUUAGUGCAUCUCCUAGAUUGAAGCAUUUUACGAUGCUUGUAGCAGAAAUUAAAUUAAGAAAAAUGUUUGGUUACGUCCAACUGUUUGUGAAACGUUCCGGCAGGAACCGGAACUAUUAAAAAUUAUGAUUCCAGCCGGAUAGUUAUGUCCUGGUCAAAGUUCCGGGGCACUCCUACUUUAUGUUCUAACGUUGUGUGUAACAACAAAUUGAACUUACUCAUGUUAUGAUUACUUGGGAUUUUACAGUACAGAAGAGGAUAUGUAUAUGACACCGGAGGAUGAUGAUGCUGGUCAUGUCGUCCCAGCUGCACCCAGCGAUAUCCUGUCUCAAAUGACGGUUGACGAGGAAGUAUUCGCAUUUGAUGCAACUCUGCAUCGCUGAUGCAGCCCAUGUUCGAGGAAGAUGGUGCUCACAGCCACUCAUCAGAGGCAUGUACGCUUUCAACCUCCUGCUGCCAACAUGCAUCAUCAUAUCUGGGAACAGCAUCUACAAGGUUGCCCAUCUGUUUAAACUCAUGAAUCUGGGAUGUGUUGGUCUGUCAAAUGCAGACAGGUAAUUAUAACUGCCCUGUUCUAUUUGUAGCAAUAUGGGGUCAUACGAAAACCCCAUGCUAUAUUACUUCUGUGAUCGAAAUUAACUGUAUCACUAUAUCCCUGGGAAAGUAGAAUUUUGUGUUGGAUACCAGAUUUCGAAUGCUUGUUAUCCCUCGAUAUCUCGAUACGAUCCUCGAUAGUAAAGAAAAUCGGGAUAGUGGUUGUUGAGUUAUCAGCUAUCCCUCAAAAACUGUAGUUAAACAACCUGUUGGUACCAAUUACAUGUGUUCUUUUUUUUUAUUCAUUUGUUAAUUACCUGCCAGUGUUAUCAAUUCAUUCUUUGCUCUUCAGAAUCGUAUUUACUACUUUACAGUGUACAAAAUGUUAAUGUUGAAAUCUAGUAUAAAAAAGGGAGACCAGAUCUUUUGGGGGAUACUAGAUUUAAAAUACUAUGUAUCCCAGAUGGAUACCAUAAUAAAAAUCUAAUUUCAAUCCUUAUACUUUAGCUGUGUAAAGCAUGACCCUGGACUAAUGAGUAGUGAGGCAACCAAUUAUAAGCGGUCGCAUGUAGCAGGUUGCCGAAAAACAAUAGAUAGGCGUAUCCCCAGUUUGGGUAUAAAAUCUCUGGUUUGGAGAGAGAGAGACAGACAGUCAGAGAUACAGAUAUAGACAGAGAUAGACAGAGUAAGAUACAGAGAUAUUGCACAUUUGCAUACGAACGGAUGACCCAGCAUUAGCCUAGUAAGUUGUGACGUGUCUCGCGUAAACCUAGUGUACGCGCAUACCUUGUUAUGGAAUUAUACAUAGUACAUAUAAAGAGAAUCAUUGAAUACGUA
This is a long non-coding RNA of Priapulus caudatus, 1732 nucleotides long. RefSeq lists it as uncharacterized. Lineage: Eukaryota; Metazoa; Priapulida; Priapulimorpha; Priapulimorphida; Priapulidae. The transcript has 2 exons. The record is from RefSeq and is a predicted model, not a curated record.